CAUCCAUUUCCUGUGAAAUUUGCACCAAAAUGAAGCUUACAACUUGAAGAACAUUUCCUUACCACUUUGAAGCUCCAAAAGUCACGGAAUCUUGCCAGAGAAAUUCCAUAAAAUCCGGCCAAGCUUGAAACUCACGAUCCCGACGUCCAAUUUCACCCAACGAACCACUCCGAGCUUCCUUAGAACCUCCUAAAGCUCCUAUGUCCUUAAAAUUCCCUAAAAAUCAACAUUUUACGUGAGCAUGAAUAGUACCUCAAAUCGGGGUUCGGAUUUCACGAGUUUUCAAAGGAGUUCUUACCUGAAAAUGGUACCAUUCAACUCGUAUGGUUCUCACGAACACAAUGGUGUGCUUCACACCCUCGAUCUUCACACUUUCGAUGGGUUUUGGGUGCAGUCCGUACAAGAGAGAAGAAAAGAGAGAGAGAGUGCGUCUGAGAGAGAGAGUACGGGAGGGUGAGAGAGAAAAAGUUUUGGGUGUGUGUGUGUGGUCCUCACACUAACACAUCACCAAACCCACAUCUACUACCAAACAAAAAGUUUAAGUCCCAAAUUAUCCAAAAUUAAGCUAGGGUAACCAAAUAAACCCUAAUAUUAAAUCCCAUGAAACGUUUAAGGGUAUUCUCGACAUUUCCCAUCCAUAAGAAUAAUUUUCCAGGACAGGCUGUGGUAGGUUACCCACGUGUUACCUGAGUGUAUACCUAUUAAGAACCUAUUAUUAACAGGUUCUUAACGGGUCACCCAAUAAUGACACGAUAAGUUAUCGUUGUUAGUACCAUAUUAUAUUGGGCCUCGUUACUUGGGCCUCCAGACAUUGAGCCCAUGAUUCAUGUAAAAAGGGAUGAGCCUUUACUCUAUAAAAGGGCCUCCUCACCCUCACAAUGAAAAAAGCCUGACAUCCCCAAAUAGAGACUCUCAUAUUCAGAGCAACCCUCUCACAAACUCUCUCUUUCUUUGGGGGACUCCCCCUCACACUUGUAAACCAAUCAUUCAUACAGAGAAAUAUAAUCAACAUCAGUGUGGAUGUAGCCUAAACAUUGGGGUGAACCACGAUACAUCUUGUGUUCUUUACAUUCUUGCAGAUUCAUGGUCGGAUUUACGUUGUU
Molecule: long non-coding RNA, 1103 nt
Filed under: Malus domestica (apple)
Lineage: Eukaryota; Viridiplantae; Streptophyta; Magnoliopsida; Rosales; Rosaceae
Description: long non-coding RNA (MDOM_LNC012902)
Source: RNAcentral